This 1404-nucleotide ribosomal RNA is filed under the name Klebsiella quasipneumoniae. RNAcentral's name for it is "bacterial SSU rRNA". It matches the Rfam family "Bacterial small subunit ribosomal RNA". The record is from RNAcentral. Lineage: Bacteria; Pseudomonadati; Pseudomonadota; Gammaproteobacteria; Enterobacterales; Enterobacteriaceae.
AUCUCAUGCAAGUCGAGCGGUAGCACAGAGAGCUUGCUCUCGGGUGACGAGCGGCGGACGGGUGAGUAAUGUCUGGGAAACUGCCUGAUGGAGGGGGAUAACUACUGGAAACGGUAGCUAAUACCGCAUAAUGUCGCAAGACCAAAGUGGGGGACCUUCGGGCCUCAUGCCAUCAGAUGUGCCCAGAUGGGAUUAGCUAGUAGGUGGGGUAACGGCUCACCUAGGCGACGAUCCCUAGCUGGUCUGAGAGGAUGACCAGCCACACUGGAACUGAGACACGGUCCAGACUCCUACGGGAGGCAGCAGUGGGGAAUAUUGCACAAUGGGCGCAAGCCUGAUGCAGCCAUGCCGCGUGUAUGAAGAAGGCCUUCGGGUUGUAAAGUACUUUCAGCGGGGAGGAAGGCGAUAAGGUUAAUAACCUUGUCGAUUGACGUUACCCGCAGAAGAAGCACCGGCUAACUCCGUGCCAGCAGCCGCGGUAAUACGGAGGGUGCAAGCGUUAAUCGGAAUUACUGGGCGUAAAGCGCACGCAGGCGGUCUGUCAAGUCGGAUGUGAAAUCCCCGGGCUCAACCUGGGAACUGCAUUCGAAACUGGCAGGCUAGAGUCUUGUAGAGGGGGGUAGAAUUCCAGGUGUAGCGGUGAAAUGCGUAGAGAUCUGGAGGAAUACCGGUGGCGAAGGCGGCCCCCUGGACAAAGACUGACGCUCAGGUGCGAAAGCGUGGGGAGCAAACAGGAUUAGAUACCCUGGUAGUCCACGCCGUAAACGAUGUCGAUUUGGAGGUUGUGCCCUUGAGGCGUGGCUUCCGGAGCUAACGCGUUAAAUCGACCGCCUGGGGAGUACGGCCGCAAGGUUAAAACUCAAAUGAAUUGACGGGGGCCCGCACAAGCGGUGGAGCAUGUGGUUUAAUUCGAUGCAACGCGAAGAACCUUACCUGGUCUUGACAUCCACAGAACUUAGCAGAGAUGCUUUGGUGCCUUCGGGAACUGUGAGACAGGUGCUGCAUGGCUGUCGUCAGCUCGUGUUGUGAAAUGUUGGGUUAAGUCCCGCAACGAGCGCAACCCUUAUCCUUUGUUGCCAGCGGUUCGGCCGGGAACUCAAAGGAGACUGCCAGUGAUAAACUGGAGGAAGGUGGGGAUGACGUCAAGUCAUCAUGGCCCUUACGACCAGGGCUACACACGUGCUACAAUGGCAUAUACAAAGAGAAGCGACCUCGCGAGAGCAAGCGGACCUCAUAAAGUAUGUCGUAGUCCGGAUUGGAGUCUGCAACUCGACUCCAUGAAGUCGGAAUCGCUAGUAAUCGUAGAUCAGAAUGCUACGGUGAAUACGUUCCCGGGCCUUGUACACACCGCCCGUCACACCAUGGGAGUGGGUUGCAAAAGAAGUAGGUAGCUUAACCUUCGGG